UGUAAAAGGGAUGGGAAUCUAACCCACAUUGUUCCGCUUACCGGGCAGAUGCCAUGUCCACUAGGCUACCCUGGAC
RNAcentral lists this transfer RNA (76 nucleotides) under Cordylochernes scorpioides. Its description in RNAcentral is "tRNA-Thr". The record is from RNAcentral. Lineage: Eukaryota; Metazoa; Arthropoda; Arachnida; Pseudoscorpiones; Chernetidae.